This 94-nucleotide ribosomal RNA is filed under the name Klebsiella aerogenes. RNAcentral describes it as "partial 16S ribosomal RNA". It matches the Rfam family "Bacterial small subunit ribosomal RNA", at positions 1440 to 1533 of the family's 1533-position model. RNAcentral also lists the same sequence under 24 other names. Lineage: Bacteria; Pseudomonadati; Pseudomonadota; Gammaproteobacteria; Enterobacterales; Enterobacteriaceae. The record is from RNAcentral.
CUUCGGGAGGGCGCUUACCACUUUGUGAUUCAUGACUGGGGUGAAGUCGUAACAAGGUAACCGUAGGGGAACCUGCGGUUGGAUCACCUCCUUA